UCCCCUUCAUUAUGGGCGCUUUGUCGUCUCUAAUGGUUCCAGCGGGUGUGGACUGCUGCUACGAGAAAAAUAGAAGGAGGUGCGUCGACCGCGACGGUGAUAAGGUCCAUGGAGAACGCCGAUGUAUUGGGAUUCCAGUGAAACCGGUGCUCAGGUGAGACGCAGCUGCCCGUAAUCCCCAGUAGAUCGUUUUCAAUCCUUUUUGUUUGGUCCUUGCUGAUCUCCGGUGGGCACUAUGGUUAGAUUGUCUAUCUUCCAGGAAGCGGUCCACGUGCGCGAGCAAAUCUGGAUGGCAGGAGCAAGGUGUGUAGCCCUCGGGAAGAGUUAGCUUCAGAAUCGUCUGUGGGGGCGCUCCUUCGAGGGGCCAGGUUGCUGAACAUAAUGCAAACUACAGCGAAAAUGCGCCCACAGAAUCAGGUGAAUCCGUUGUGAAGCCGGAUAUGGAUUAAGAUGUAAUUAGCUUACUUUGGUAAAGAACUAGAAUUGUUCGUCAGUUGGCAUGUGCCUGAAUGUUCUUUAAAUUCCGAAACUAAAUCAUCGUGUAAGUGUGAAAUUGGUGAUGUUUGAGCUGUAAUACAUUGCAGAGUAGUUGAACAAGGAGCUUACUUUAGAGGAAUGAAGCAUUGUACAG
RNAcentral lists this long non-coding RNA (631 nucleotides) under Triticum aestivum (bread wheat). Its description in RNAcentral is "long non-coding RNA (TAES_LNC003738)". The record is from RNAcentral. Lineage: Eukaryota; Viridiplantae; Streptophyta; Magnoliopsida; Poales; Poaceae.